This 1361-nucleotide ribosomal RNA is filed under the name uncultured bacterium. RNAcentral's name for it is "bacterial SSU rRNA". It matches the Rfam family "Bacterial small subunit ribosomal RNA". The record is from RNAcentral.
AGAGUUUGAUCCUGGCUCAAGACGAACGCUGGCGGCGCGCCUAACACAUGCAAGUCGAACGGAGCUUAGAGAGCUUGCUUUUUAAGCUUAGUGGCGAACGGGUGAGUAACGCGUGAGUAACCUGCCCUAGAGUGGGGGACAACAGUUGGAAACGACUGCUAAUACCGCAUAAGCCCACGGUACCGCAUGGCACUGAGGGAAAAGGAUUUAUUCGCUUUAGGAUGGACUCGCGUCCAAUUAGCUAGUUGGUGAGGUAACGGCCCACCAAGGCGACGAUUGGUAGCCGGACUGAGAGGUUGAACGGCCACAUUGGGACUGAGACACGGCCCACACUCCUACGGGAGGCAGCAGUGGGGGAUAUUGCACAAUGGGGGAAACCCUGAUGCAGCGACGCCGCGUGGAGGAAGAAGGUUUUCGGAUUGUAAACUCCUGUCGUUAGGGACGAUAAUGACGGUACCUAACAAGAAAGCACCGGCUAACUACGUGCCAGCAGCCGCGGUAAAACGUAGGGUGCAAGCGUUGUCCGGAAUUACUGGGUGUAAAGGGAGCGCAGGCGGGAAGACAAGUUGGAAGUGAAAACCAUGGGCUCAACCCAUGAAUUGCUUUCAAAACUGUUUUUCUUGAGUAGUGCAGAGGUAGAUGGAAUUCCCGGUGUAGCGGUGGAAUGCGUAGAUAUCGGGAGGAACACCAGUGGCCUAGGCGGUCUACUGGGCACCAACUGACGCUGAGGCUCGAAAGCAUGGGUAGCAAACAGGAUUAGAUACCCUGGUAGUCCAUGCCGUAAACGAUGAUUACUAGGUGUUGGGGGAUUGACCCCCUCAGGUGCCGCAGUUAACACAAUAAGUAAUCCACCUGGGGAGUACGACCGCAAGGUUGAAACUCAAAGGAAUUGACGGGGGCCCGCACAAGCAGUGGAGUAUGUGGUUUAAUUCGAAGCAACGCGAAGAACCUUACCAGGUCUUGACAUCCGAUGCAUAGCACAGAGAUGUGUGAAAUCCUUCGGGACAUCGAGACAGGUGGUGCAUGGUUGUCGUCAGCUCGUGUCGUGAGAUGUUGGGUUAAGUCCCGCAACGAGCGCAACCCUUAUUGCCAGUUACUACGUUAAGAGGACUCUGGCGAGACUGACGUUGACAAAACGGAGGAAGGUGGGGAUGACGUCAAAUCAUCAUGCCCUUUAUGACCUGGGCUACACACGUACUACAAUGGCGUUAAACAAAGAGAAGCAAGACCGCGAGGUGGAGCAAAACUCAAAAACAACGUCUCAGUUCAGAUUGCAGGCUGCAACUCGCCUGCAUGAAGUCGGAAUUGCUAGUAAUCGCGGAUCAGCAUGCCGCGGUGAAUACGUUCCCGGGCCUUGCACA